Molecule: long non-coding RNA, 1662 nt
Filed under: Homo sapiens (human)
Lineage: Eukaryota; Metazoa; Chordata; Mammalia; Primates; Hominidae
Description: HSALNT0051303
Source: RNAcentral
GCCUGCCCCGGCUGCCCACCCUGCAAAGACCAUCAAUCCUUGGUGCCUGCACAGGCCCUGCCCAUCCUGGCAGGGGCAGCUGCUGCCAGGGGAGCCUGCCCACCCUCACGUCGCUCAGGCACCAGCUUGACACAAACACAGACCAGGCAGGAAGAGCCAAUUCAGGUCACCCUCAGAAACGGCUCAGGGCUCAGGCUGCCCAGGCCCUGAGGGGAAGCCUCCUCGGGGUGUUGCUGAGUGUCAAGGCCCCCACUCCACCCCUGUGGUUUAUCUGUUUCAGAAAGACCCCAUGGUGAGGGGAUAUGGGCUGAACAGAGGCCCUACCCCAGCUGGAGAGACGGCAGGUCUAUUCAAGAGCCUGGGAAUCGGGUCGGACAGCUUGGGUGUUGACAUCGGUGCUGCCGCCACUUGGGCUGUGUGACCUCAGGCAGGUUGCCUGCUCUGUCUGAGCCCCGGCGUUCUCUUCUGUCCAGUGAGGACCCCUUGCAUGGGGGUGUGGGAUUCCAUGGGACAUGGAGGGGGCAGUGCCCUGCAGAGGGGCUGGCAUUGAGGUCAGGAAACAGAGUUUAGGGGCAGGGUGGGGAGUAUGUCACAUGACUCCAGGAUGAACGCCGACAGCAAGGGAAGCGGGACUGGGUCUUGCUCUGUCAUCCAGGCUGGAGUACUUUGGUGCGAUCAUAGCUCACUGUAACCUUGACCUCCUGGGCUCAACGAUCCUCCUGCUUUGGCCUCGUAAAGCACUGGGAUUCCAGAAUGACCUUGAGGACUGUGACCGUUGCUGUGUGCAUCUGUGCUGCUUCCCGUUUCAUUGCUGAGUGGUGUUCCUGUAAAUGGAUAUGCCACUGUCUGCUUCUUCACUCACCAGGGUCUUGCUGUGGUACCCAGGUUGGAGUGCAGAGGCAUGAUCUUGGCUCACUGCAGCCGCCACCUCCCAGGAGUGAUCCUCCCACCUCACCCUCCCAAAUAGGUGGGACUACCAGCAUGCACCGACACACCUAGCUAAUUUUUGUUAUUUUUUGUAGAGAGGGGGUUUUGUCAUGUUGCCCAGGUUGGUCUUGAACUCCCGGGGUCAAAUGAUCCACCUGCCUUGGCCUCCUGAAGUACUAGGAUUGCAGGCAUGAGCCACCAUGCCCAGACUAAUUCCUGUUUUCAAUUUUAGGUAGUCAUUUGAUUAUUGAGUUGUAGAAAUCUUACUUUUGGAUUAAUAUAUUAAAAACUAUCACCAGUUAGCCAUGUGUUAACUGCUUAGUUUUUCAACCAAACUUCAAUCAUCAGCCAGCCCUCACUUUCAGCCCAGAUCGACGGGCUCAACGCUUGGUGAUCGGUUAACUCCUUGUUUUUUAGCUAAUGCUUUAAUUAGCAAUUACCAUCUUUGUCUUCAGCUAAACAUCAUACUUCUCAAUGCUUUGGUUAUCAGCUAAUGUCUUCUUUUUCAGCUAACACUUUAGUGGACAUUAAUACCCUUGUUAACGUAUGUUACUUCAACCAGAUUAGACCUGGCUGCAUUGGGAAAGGAAAGUGGGGGGCUUGACAAGGAACGUGAAGACAUUAAAGGCAAAACCUCUGAGUUAAUGAAGGGAGUCCUCCAAGAGAGUUCUUUCCUUCACGAGCUGGAGCCUGGCUCUCCAUGAAAGCUUUUUGAAUGAAUGAAUGAAUGGGUGA